GACCUCUGAGCUGCAGCCUAGCGCCCAGAGUACGGCUCUCUCCAACUCUCGGGCGAACUUGACUGCAGGCAAAACAGCAGGGGAGCUUGGCCAGGUGGGACCCUGCUUCCCAGCCCCAGAACUUUCUUCCCUUGAGCAGACAUGAGCUACCAGCAGCCACAGCUGAGGGGUCCUCUGCAGAGAGAGACAGACCCGAGUGACAGAGAGAGCCUGGUCUCCGGACAUGAACACGGAGGGAAAUCGAGUCAGUCUGCAGCUGUUUUCAAUGUAGUCAAUUCUGUUAUAGGAUCUGGGAUAAUAGGAUUGCCCUAUUCAAUGAAGCAAGCCGGAUUUCCCUU
This 338-nucleotide long non-coding RNA is filed under the name Rattus norvegicus (Norway rat). RNAcentral describes it as "long non-coding RNA NONRATT019347". Lineage: Eukaryota; Metazoa; Chordata; Mammalia; Rodentia; Muridae. The record is from RNAcentral.